RNAcentral lists this long non-coding RNA (6111 nucleotides) under Sus scrofa (pig). RNAcentral describes it as "lncRNA (ENSSSCG00025037342.1)". The record is from RNAcentral. Lineage: Eukaryota; Metazoa; Chordata; Mammalia; Artiodactyla; Suidae.
GCACAGCCAUAGCCACUGAAAUGCAGGAUCUGAGCCAUGUCUGCAACCUAUACCACAGCUCGUGGCAACGCCAGAUCCUUAACCCACUGAGAGAGGCCAUGGAUCGAAUCUGCAUCCUAUGGAUCCUAGUCAGGUUCGUUAACCUCUGAGCCACGAAGGAAACUCAGAGGAACUAUCUUGAGCAACUGAUUUGAUGAAAAUCCACAGAGAAAAUAAAAGAUAGUAUUAUCUCCAGGAUAAAAGAGUAAACCAUGAUUCUGUUUUCUUUUAAAAUCUGUUAUCCAAGGAAUAUAUAAAGAUAAAUGUACAUACAUAUCCAUAUAUAUGUACUCACACAGAUAUACACACAUACAUAUACUCAUAUGUAUGCAUGUGUAUGAAGAUAUAAUAUGUAUGUGUGUAUAGGUGCAUGCAUAUAUAUGUGUGUGUAUAUAGAUAUACAUGAACACAUAUACACUUUAAUAGCCAAAUAAAUUUUGUCUUCAUUUAUAAAGAAAGAGGUGGGAAAUCUUAAAAGUCUUUUUUAACUAUCGUGACUCUUAAUAAACUCCUGUUUCAGUGUGAGUGUCCGUCAGAGAUUGAAAACUGAAUGUGGCCCCCAGACACAUCCUAUCUGAAGCCUAGGCAGGUCAUCCUCGCUCCACUUUGACCAAAGGCCACAACUUCUUGUCUUACACCAGGUCCAAUUCACAACUUACUGUUAAUCCAGCUUCUAAAGAUAUGAGUACCCCCAUCAGAGUUGUGAUCAAGAUGUGAUCAAAGCCCGUCUUAACAUAGGUAUAAAAGCUAAAUUAAUAACCAGGAACCUAAGCAAGAAAAAAGAAAAAGGAUGGCACAUUCAGGCCAAGAUGAGGACAUUCAAAACUACUGGAGAUCUUUUUUUUUAUGUUUUCUUACAACAUACUUAUUUUUUUCUUACAGAUAGAAUCAAACAAAAUUGUGUAUGUGAUAGCUUUAUGCUGCCUUAGACAGCUAAGGCAGACACCCAGUAACUUAGUUGUGACAUUUUGUUAGUUGUUUCUAGACUCUUUAGUCACAGAUUAUUACUUUAGUUCAGUUAUUUCUAUAGCUGACUGAUCUCAGUUGUUUCACGGUGAUUGCAUCUAAUUUCACUCUCAGAGGGAAACCCUCAUUCUAGGAGCUCGGGUUACCUAGCAGUUACCUCCUAGGUACUAACUACAAUUUUCACUAUGGGUGUUAAAGUCAAGAUUUAAAAAUAUUGGUCCAGUGUCACAACAUGAUAUUAAAUUGAUAUUGAAUCCUUUUUGCUCUUUUAAACAUUUUCCUAGUUUUCUUUUCUCUGUAGGGUUAUGGUUUUAGAUGAAGUAUCAUAACACAUUUUUAAAGCAUAGAAUUUCCAUACAUCUUAUUCUGUCUGACAAUCUUCACAUUAAACAGUGUUGGGUACAUACAGCAUUUGAACGUGGCAGGUCAUCCCUCACUUGCUAUGCUACAUAAAGGUGUUUGAUAAAUUGCAAAAACCUACACACCUUUACAGGUUAAGUGAUGGUAUAAAAGUUUUGUGGACCAAAAAGAAUGGAGCUACAUUUCUUCAGGACAUUGUCUGAUUCAGAAUUUUCUUCCUGGCACUUAGAGCAAUGCUUGGCACAUAUAAAGGGUCUGAUAUACAUUUUCAAAUGAAUUAAUUAACCACAAACGUUGGAAGACAAGUUCAGAGAAAAGAUAUGCUCCUGCUAAGUUACUUAGAUUUCAGGGAGAGUUCUUGCAGAGAAUCUCACUCAAGGUGAAAAUAUAGAUUACCAGCAAAACAUUUGAAGUACCAAUGGAUGCCUUCAUUGGAACAACUAUUACUUUCAAAUUCUAUUUAAUGAGCAAUACUACUUUUCAAAAUUCACAGGUAGAAACACUUGCUUUCUCUGAUUUGUUUUAAAAUAAAAUCAAAUACUUUUCUUUAGGGAGGACACAUUCUAGAAGCAGUUUUUUCUCUUAAGAGAGACCAACAGAGGUAUCAACGCGGCUCAGCAGGUUAAGAACACAACUAGUAUUCAUGAGGACAUGUUUUCAAUCUCUGGCCCCACUCAAUGGGUUAAAGGAUCUGGCAUUGGCAUGAGCUGUGGUGCAGGAUACAGACAUGGCUCAGAUCUGGCAUUGCUGUGGCGUUGCUGUGGCGUUGCUGUGACUGUGUCUGUGGCCAGCAGCUGUAGCUCUAAUUGGACUCCUAGCGUGGGAACGGCCCAUAAGGCAAAAAAAAAAAAAAAAAAAAAAAGGAGGAAGGAGACAAUAAAUGAAAGCAAAACAUAAUUCUCAAAGUAGAUAAGAACAAUGAGGUUAUUUGUGCUGUUAUUUUGAUUUUUUUAGCUGUGUUAUACAUUCUAGGAGGGUACACUGCACAUAUUUUAAGUUAAAAUUAAAUCAAGGCUAAUAUUACUAGCUAUGAUGUGUUUAGAUUAUUUAGAAGUUUGGAUCAUAGACAUGCUUCAAUUUGAAGUGAUAAUUUAAAUGCAGUAAGUUUUUUUCUGGGUGGUAAGUUAGGUGAACAAUACUUAGAUUAGUGCAACACAAAAACAGAUGACAGACCAUCAUCAAUACCACCUGUAGCUCUCCUUGGUCUAAGCAAUUCAGAAUACAACUUCAUUUUACUUAUAAUUCCAUCUUGAAUCAAAGCAUCUUCUACCUCAAGCAUCAGUGCUCUUCAAUAUCUAAUUUCACAGUUUUCUUAACACGUAUCUCAUGUUAUUUAUUAUAGUCAGAGGCAUCUCCACACCUUUGUCUAUCCCUGCUACCUUUUAAAUGAUUUAUCUGGCAAACCAUCAAUCACAAAUCAUGAAACAUAUUCUAGCCCAAGUCAGAGCAGUUAAGAAAGAAAACAAGCCUGGUGUUGCCUAAUUGGAAACAUUAUUCACAUCAAUAAGUGAUAAAUGCGUGUUCUGGGAAAGGAGAUUUUUCCCUCAGAUCUGUCUAUAAUGUAGGAUAUGGACAAGAUUAAAAUCUCCAAUCAUCUUCUAACUUGAGGCAAUAAAGAUAUUGAUAAAAACAAUCCAAAGUUUUCUGAAAAGUUUCAAAAACUCUAUUUCAAGUGCAGAAGAAGGCUUUUAUUAGCAAAUAAGCAAUAAUAUGUAUAUUAUUUAUGAUUUUUCUCUGCUUAAAACCAGAGCAGACAAAUAAUUUGAAAAAAAAAAAGACCUAAUCAACAUAUACAAAUGUUUUGGUGGGUUAUAAGAGCCUUGAUAAAUUUGCUUACCUGGCUUUACCCUGAAAGGACAUGUGCAAGAAUGUUUUGAUAACCUCUUAUUUGAUAUUUAAAGUAUUCAAAUAACUUGUAUUAAUGACAGCGUAAACUGUACAGUUCAGAAUUUUUUGAUAUUAUAUAUAGUACUUUCUAUGUCUCAUGGAGGAUACCUUAACUAUAUCCCAGGAAAUACAUUCUCAAAAUAGGAAAACACAUAAUGCCUCCCUCAUAAUAUUUUAAUUUAAAGAACACAGAUGUGCUCACUUAUCCCAUGAGGUCAAUUGCACAACCACCACCACAUUACCCAGGUGAUGUUCAUUUCAAGUUACAGGUAAUUUAUUAUAACUGUAGCACUGUCACAGGGAUAGUUCACACAAAUAAUUUGACUUAGGUAAACACCAUUUUCCAGUAAUGAUAGGACAAAACAAACUUUAGGAGCAUUUAUGAACAGUAACAUCUCAUUCUCAGUACACAUUUGCCAACCCAUCUCUGUUGUUUGCAAAUGAAUUAACGAUGGCUUGAAAAAAUCAUUAGAGCCAUCUGCUUUGAUGGUUAAGAAAAACUACUAUGAUCGUUUUAUUAUAGAAGCAAAGACUAGGAACUAUUGUAGCAUAUUUUUAGCAUCAUUUCCCUUAAAUUUCACAUGCUAUCUAAGAAGUUAUCAGUUUAUCCAUUCUUACAAGGAUUCUCCCUUGUAAAUCCUUUUACUGAGAAACCACUUUAUGUAGGUAACUGAGCAGGUUUUGGUUUGUUUGUUUGUUUAGAAUGGUAGAAUAUGGGAAAUGACUAUUUUUUUCUCUAGUAAAACUGAUCGUUAUGGUCACCAAAAUGCUUGCUUUUCCAGAAUGUUUUAAUCCCUCAAGUAAGAACUGACAAAGGAAAUUAAAAUCAGCUAAACAAAUUAGUUCCUUUGAUUGUUUUGAUUCAGUGGAUUCAAAAUGUACAUUUGUUCAAUAGAUUUUCUUGUCCAAACAAUUUAUAUGAAUGCUAUUGUCAAUGCUUCCAACAUUUGAAUAACUAUUUUUUUGCAGUUGCUUAAAAAGGAUCUAUCAUUACUUUCCUAUGGAUCUAUGAUUCAGGAAUAUGUUUGAAAUGUAACUUUAGUAUUUACUUGUAUUUGACAGGUAUAAAAGAGGACUGAGAGGAGAAAUAAAGUUCACUGAUGUUUAUCUCUAAUGGAAAUUUUCCAGUAAUCACAGAGCUUAAAUGAUACUUGGUGUAUAAUAUUAACAUACAUGCUUUGCCAUUAAAAAAAAUCUUUUUUUUUUUUUUCUCUUAGGAUGUUGGUGUUCAGAGAUGACCAUAACGGAGGAUCUGUUCAUUUUUAAGUGCACUUGAAUCCAAUUGAUAUUGAAGAACUAAGUGUAUGUUUAACAGAUGGAUGAGUGAAUAGAAAAAUACAUUUAAUUGUAUUCUAUUUAAGCUAAAUUAAAUGGGGAAAAAAUCUGCCUAUGUACUAAAAAGCAGUCCUCUUUAAACUUAAAAAGCGUCUUUUCUUAUAUGGUUUUGCAGCAAAGAGGAGAAAAAUACAUAGUUUUAAUCCAUCAGAUUAUCUGAUGCAAAGCUCUGAAUCUGUGGGGUGAUAAAUGUGCUAAAUAUAUUUUCAACUAUAACUGCAUUCAGAAAUAUCUUUAUCAAUCAGACACAAAAAAGGGUAAGCUGGUAGAUUUCACAAGUUUCUCAUAAUUCUCAAUAUAAGUAGCCAAAUAGCAGAUAUACUUAAUUAAGACAGUGACUAUAAAUGCAUAUGUCCUUUAAAACUUAAGUUUAUGUAUUCAAAAUGGAAUUUCACAAUCUGGCAACUGAUUUUUUUUUUUUUCAUUAUUGAGAAAAACUGCAUUACACUCUGGUGGAAAUUUAAGUCGGUGAAGCCAAGGGCUGGCCACAGGCUGCUAGUAAAUACUGGCCUCUUCGUCUGGCUGGGCAAGCAAUCUGACAGAGAACCAAGGCACAGGACUGCUACCUUUUUACAACUGAAUCUUGAAAGUAAAAACCCAUCACUUCCGUGAUAGUCAUUGGAAGCAAGUCACUAGGUUCCUGUCCACACUUGAGAGAAAUUACACAAGUGAGUAAAUAUCAGGAAAUGGGGAUCCCUGGGGCCAUUUUAGAGACUGCUUACUAUACCUCUUUAAUCCAUGAGCAGCCCCUACUCCACUGGUUUAUUUCAAGGUAUUGCUCUUUUCUGAAUUUCAAUAAUUUAUUCUGAAUUCAAACGUGAUACCUAUUAACUUAUCCAUAGAUAAGCCAUACAGUCCUUCUUCCCCCAUAUCUUUGAAAAAAAAAAUCUCUUCUGCUACAUACUCUAUCGGGUUAUGGAAAAAUAUUAACUGUGACAGUGAAUAUCUAAUCUCUACUAGAGUACCUACACUGUAUAGUAGCCCUUACUAGGUCACUUUUAUUACCAACGUUGUUGCUCAAUGUUAAUUCCUAAAACUUCCACUCUGGGUCCUGUUUCUACAAGUUCUUGCAUCAUCAAACACUCUUCUGCCUACCUCAACAAGAGUAAGAGAAAAAUUCAAGUUUUUACCAUUUUAUUUAUUUAUUUAUUUUAGUUUCAAAUAUUCCUUCCCAUAUCCUUCACCGUAGCAGCAAUUGCUCUAUCUUCAAAGUCAAGUUACUUAAGAAUAAUGGAGACUGUAGGAGUUCCCGUCCUGGCUCAGCAGAAAUGAACCGAACUAAGAAUUAUGAGGUUGCGGUUUUGAUUCUUGGCCUCCAUCAGUGGGUUAAGGAUCCAGCAUUGCCACGAACUGACAGAGAUUUUCUAACAGCCUAAACCAAUGACUCUCAUAAUGUGGUACCUGGAUCCGCAGCAUCAAUGCCAACUGGGAACUUGUUAGAAAUGCACAUUGCGGGGAGGCGGGAUCUUCCAUCUUCCAGAGACCUACUCAGAAAGUGAGGCUGAGGCCUGAUAAUCUUUAACA